Long non-coding RNA from Xiphophorus couchianus (Monterrey platyfish), 2600 nucleotides. RefSeq lists it as uncharacterized. The record is from RefSeq and is a predicted model, not a curated record. The transcript is spliced from 4 exons. NCBI's taxonomy places the organism in Eukaryota, Metazoa, Chordata, Actinopteri, Cyprinodontiformes, Poeciliidae.
CACUACCUGGUGACAGUUUUCACAAAUAUGUAAAAGAAAAAAAAUUCAAAUAAUAGUUAAACUGCACCUUCAACAAAAGCAAUAAUUAUAUUUAACCAACCGCAAAAAGCAGAGUCAGUGCAGUUCAGACUAGUCCACUGACCUCCAGGAGAGUUUUACCAUCAGCCAGUUUUUUGCCAGCAGUCACUAAACAAACCAAACGAUCUCAGAUGUAAACAUCUGAGAUCGUUUGGUUUGUUUAGUAAAGCUAUAUGUAAAGCCUUAUAAUUGAUUAUACUUCUAUAGAAAAUUGCUAUUGUUUUUGCGGUCUUUUCCUUUAUGCAUUUAAUAUUGUCUCCAAGUUGAUUAUAGUCGAUAAUCACUAAAAACUGUAUUUCUGUCACUCGUUCAAUUUCAGCAUCACAUAUUUUUAGAAUCAUGUCCCCCAAUAAUUUCUUUUUGAUGUCACCCUAAUCUUUUGCUCCCUCCAUAUUUUCUCAAACUUUAAAAAUUAAAGUCUGGACUUUGACUAAGUCACUCAAUACAACAGUAUUGCUUCCAGUUAAAUGUGUUGGUAAGCUAUUUAUUUAAACCUAAAAAUCUGAGCUUAAUAUAAAAUAUUAAAAGAAAUUAAGGGGUUUAAGCUUCUUUUUUUUUUUGCAAAUGUUCUGCUUCUAUACAGUACAUCCUACAGAUGAUGUGUGUUUUGUGUGAGUGUGUUUACAUGAUGUUAUUCCAUCAUAUUCUACAGAUCUCUGUCCAAACUCUGUGAAAUGUGCUGAAUUCCUCUGGUCUGCUCUCCUCCAGGUCUUAAAGGAUCUUUAGCUGAAACCUUGGAGCUUCCAAGGUUCAGGGAUUUUCACAUCUGAAACUCAUAGUUUGAACUUUGAGUCCAAAAACACUGCUGCAUCAACUAAUAAGAAGCAUCAACUACCUUCUUCAAUUGUAGCAAUGGAUGCUUUAUUUAGCCAUCUUCUAAGUUGUCAGAGUGUUAGUGGCAGUCACAGCUCCAACAACAGCUGUUCACUUUAUGUCAUUUAUGACAUCUUUCGUUUUUUCCAAAUUAUACAGUUUCCCUUCACAUCAGCAUGCAGGUGGUGGAAUUCUGGACACAACUUGGUUUUUGAAUGAGGCAAUAAACUCAAACAAAAACAUUGCCUUUUUUAAUUUAUUCCAUCCAAAUCCAAACAUUAAGCUUCAUGGCCUACCCUGACCUCAACCUUGCUGAAAUGUGAGAAUAGAAAAGUAUCACUUUCUCAACUGAGUGGGUGAAAAGCAGAUACAAUAAUAGGGUGACAAACAAUUUAGAAUGUAAAACAAGAGGCAAACAGAAUACCUGACCACAGUAUUGUGAUGCACAUGGGAAUCCACUGAAGUUAUUAGAACCGAGUUCUUCAAAGCCCCUAGAGUUCAAUAGGAGAGUAGCAUGAACUAUGGUGGCCUGUGAUUAGAGAUAAUCCCAACAUCAAAGAGACAUAUAAUAGUACAGUAAAAACCAAAUACCAAGUGCUAUGAAAUACUGAAUAGAAGAAACAGGUGUGUUAGAGACAGGAUGUGGUUCACUAUAUUAAUCUUUUUACAAUAAAAAAAGCUAUCAGCAUUUUCAUUGGUAAUUUUCCAAACAAGUUUCUCUUAGAAGUCAGAGGAUAACUUGUGUCUUAAAUGAGAGGAAAAAAGUAAAGAAACGGAUGUGAAUAUUUUCAGUGAAAAUAGGCUUUAUUGUGUAUGACAGUGUCCAUUGGGUUCACCUGCAUUCCAACAAUAAGUCAAAUAAAAUCAUGGUCUAUAAAAAAAAGUUUGAAGGAUGAAUGACAAACCUGGAUGGUUAGUUUUAAACACUCCAAAGGAAAUAAAACUACUUCUGCUUUUAUUGAGUAGAGUGAUGAAAUUAUUGCACUUUAGGAACAAAUGGCAUCAAACAUUAAUACUUAACUUGAAAGAGGGGACAUCGUUUAAGCACAAAUUUUGCUCUUCUUAACAAUGAUGUAUGUUUCUAAAAACAGCUGAACAUGAGCAUAUUAGUCCAGAUGUGUGUCACACCUCUGGCAGACAUGUUUGGCACACAUUUGAGUGGAAUGGAUCAAUAAACAUCAGUCCAGCACACAUCAGACUGAUGUGAAAGUUUUGGACAUUAAAUAUAUGGCUUCAUACUCACUACACCAACAAGUCCUCCAAUCAGAUCCUAGUCUAAAUACUAACUCAAAAAUCACAUUUGUUGAACACAUUUUAUUUCAUUCAGUUAAAAAUACUGAUUUUUAACUGAUCUGUUUAAGAUAGUCUUGUUCUAAACUGUAAAAUUCAAACCUUUUAUUUUUCUUAUAGUUUUUGUACAGUAAAAAGAAAAUACUCAGACAAAAUGGCAGAAACAUCUAUUACUAACAGUCUUUGGAAGUGUGUUCAGACACAAGAAAAUGCAUAUAUAUAUAUAUAUAUUUUAGAUAUGCAUCUAAAAAUAAAACAUAAAAAUCUGCUUAGAAACUUUGCAUAGAUUGUCACUGAAGGAUAAACCUGCCAUAAUAUUCCAUUUUCAUAGCAAUGCGAUGUAACAGAGUCCAAGAGAGAAGGGCAGAGGAAUGAACUGCUCUGGCUUUCUAAAGCCUCACAUCAAGAUCACAGAAGAG